RNAcentral lists this ribosomal RNA (470 nucleotides) under uncultured bacterium. RNAcentral's name for it is "partial 16S ribosomal RNA". It matches the Rfam family "Bacterial small subunit ribosomal RNA", at positions 29 to 489 of the family's 1533-position model. The record is from RNAcentral.
AUUGAACGCUGGCGGAAUGCUUUACACAUGCAAGUCGAGCGGCAGCGCGGGGGCAACCCUGGCGGCGAGCGGCGAACGGGUGAGUAAUACAUCGGAACGUGUCCUUAAGUGGGGGAUAGCUCGGCGAAAGCCGGAUUAAUACCGCAUAAGCUCUGAGGAGGAAAGCGGGGGCUCCGUAAGGACCUCGCGCUGUUGGAGCGGCCGAUGUCGGAUUAGCUAGUUGGUGGGGUAAAGGCCCACCAAGGCGACGAUCCGUAGCUGGUCUGAGAGGAUGAUCAGCCACACUGGAACUGAGACACGGUCCAGACUCCUACGGGAGGCAGCAGUGGGGAAUUUUGGACAAUGGGCGCAAGCCUGAUCCAGCGAUGCCGCGUGUGUGAAGGAAGGCCUGGCGGGGUGUAAAGCACUUUCAGUAGGGAAGAAAGACCGAGUGCUAAUAUCACUCGGUCUUGACGUUACUUACAGAAGAA